UGGGGAAUAUUGGACAAUGGGCGAAAGCCUGAUCCAGCCAUGCCGCGUGAGUGAUGAAGGCCCUAGGGUUGUAAAGCUCUUUCACCGGUGAAGAUAAUGACGGUAACCGGAGAAGAAGCCCCGGCUAACUUCGUGCCAGCAGCCGCGGUAAUACGAAGGGGGCUAGCGUUGUUCGGAAUUACUGGGCGUAAAGCGCACGUAGGCGGAUUGUUAAGUCGGGGGUGAAAUCCCGGGGGUCAACCCCGGAACUGCCUUCGAUACUGGCAAUCUAGGGUCCGGAAGAGGUGGGUGGAAUUCCGAGUGUAGAGGUGAAAUUCGUAGAUAUUCGGAGGAACACCAGUGGCGAAGGCGGCUCACUGGUCCGGUACUGACGCUGAGGUGCGAAAGCGUGGGGAGCAAACA
Molecule: ribosomal RNA, 402 nt
Filed under: uncultured bacterium
Lineage: Bacteria
Description: bacterial SSU rRNA
Rfam family: Bacterial small subunit ribosomal RNA
Source: RNAcentral